This 253-nucleotide ribosomal RNA is filed under the name uncultured bacterium. RNAcentral's name for it is "partial 16S ribosomal RNA". It matches the Rfam family "Bacterial small subunit ribosomal RNA", at positions 524 to 776 of the family's 1533-position model. The record is from RNAcentral.
UACGGGGGGGGCAAGCGUUGUUCGGAAUUACUGGGCGUAAAGGGCUCGUAGGUGGCCAACUAAGUCAUACGUGAAAUCCCUCGGCUUAACCGGGGAACUGCGUCUGAUACUGGAUGGCUUGGAUUUGGGAGAGGGAUGCGGAAUUCCAGGUGUAGCGGUGAAAUGCGUAGAUAUCUGGAGGAACACCGGUGGCGAAGGCGGCAUCCUGGACCAAUAUUGACGCUGAGGAGCGAAAGCCAGGGGAGCAAACGGG